UUGCUCUUCAACGAGGAAUACCUAGUAAGCGUGAGUCAUCAACUCGCGUUGAUUACGUCCCUGCCCUUUGUACACACCGCCUGUCGCUACUACCGAUUGAAUGGCUUAGUGAGGCCUCCGGACUGGCAUUGGGGAGCCGGCAACGGCACCCCUUGGCUGGGAAGUUGUACAAACUUGGUCAUUUAGAGGAAGUAAAAGUCAUAACAAGGUUUCCGUAGGUGAACCUGCGGAAGGAUCAUUAGUGAUUUGGCCGAGAGGCCUUUAAUCCAAAUCCUCAACACCUGUGAACUUGUCGGUGGGCUUCGGCCCGCCGGUCUUUUACAACACUAUGUGUCAUGAACGUGAAUGUAUUUAUAACAAAAACAAAACUUUCAACAACGGAUCUCUUGGCUCUCGCAUCGAUGAAGAACGCAGCGAAAUGCGAUAAGUAAUGUGAAUUGCAGAAUUCAGUGAAUCAUCGAAUCUUUGAACGCACCUUGCGCCUCUUGGUAUUCCGAGAGGCAUGCCUGUUUGAGUGUCAUGAAACAUCAAUCCCCACGGGUUUUUCGGAACCGGUGGUCGGACUUGGAGUUGGGCGUCUGCCUCCCCAGGCUCGCCUCAAAUGACUUAGUGGUCGUCUUCUUGACUCAUGCCUGACGUAAUAAGUUUCGUCUCGGCCGGUCCUGAGGCCCGCUCAUAACCCCCCAAUAUCUUUUGACAUUGACCUCAGAUCAGGUAGGGAUACCCGCUGAACUUAAGCAUAUCAAUAAGCGGAGGA
Molecule: ribosomal RNA, 757 nt
Filed under: uncultured fungus
Lineage: Eukaryota; Fungi
Description: eukaryotic LSU rRNA
Rfam family: Eukaryotic small subunit ribosomal RNA (bases 1-241)
Source: RNAcentral